This 377-nucleotide ribosomal RNA is filed under the name uncultured bacterium. Its description in RNAcentral is "bacterial SSU rRNA". It matches the Rfam family "Bacterial small subunit ribosomal RNA", at positions 28 to 401 of the family's 1533-position model. The record is from RNAcentral.
GACGAACGCUGGCGGCGUGCUUAACACAUGCAAGUCGGACGAUGAAAGCGGGAGCUUGCUCCUGCUGGAUUAGUGGCGAACGGGUGAGUAACACGUGAGCAAUCUGCCCCGAACUCUGGGAUAAGCGUUGGAAACGACGUCUAAUACCGGAUACGACGCGCGAAGGCAUCUUCUGCGCGUGGAAAGAAUUUCGGUUCGGGAUGAGCUCGCGGCCUAUCAGCUAGUUGGUGAGGUAAUGGCUCACCAAGGCGACGACGGGUAGCCGGCCUGAGAGGGUGACCGGCCACACUGGGACUGAGACACGGCCCAGACUCCUACGGGAGGCAGCAGUGGGGAAUAUUGCACAAUGGGCGCAAGCCUGAUGCAGCAACGCCGCG